Passer montanus (Eurasian tree sparrow) is the source of this 1588-nucleotide long non-coding RNA. RefSeq lists it as uncharacterized. Lineage: Eukaryota; Metazoa; Chordata; Aves; Passeriformes; Passeridae. The record is from RefSeq and is a predicted model, not a curated record. The transcript is spliced from 3 exons.
UCGCCCUCAGUACGCAGCCGCCCGCGGGAGGGGGAGCCGGGCCCGGCGGAGCUCGGAGCAGGGGCGCUGUGUGGGCUCGGUAGCUGAGAGGGCUGUGAGCUUCGAAGAACAGAAUCACGGGGUAGUUCGGGUUGGGUCUGAGAUCACCCGCUCCAAACCCCCUGCCAGGGCAGGGUCACCUGGAGCGGACACGGGAACGUGUCCAUGUGGUUUUGGAAUGCCUCCAGAGAGGGAGACUCUGUGCCUUCUCUGGGCAGCUGCUCCAGUGCACUGCGACCCUUCGUGCAAAGUUCUUCCCGAUGUUGAGAUGGAAUUUGUGGUUUAGUUUAUAGCCACUGCUCUUUGUCCUGUUGCUGGGCACCACUGAGAAAAGUCUGGCUCCAACCUCUUGGCACCUCUUGGAUAUAUUUCUGAAAGAAGAGAUUCAGAUGUUUCAUCCUUGAGAUCACCACCUCAAUCCUCAACAUUGAAGACCUCUAAAACCAGCAGAUUAAUUCCUUACUGUACCAGCUGAAGCAGAAUAAGUUAAUUAUGGUGCCAAUCUGUGGGUGAUAAUGUCUGCAUUCAGAAAGCACCGACUCUGCCUUUGCACAUGAAGAGUUGGUCUCAGGAACAUGCUCCAGCACUGCUGCCCCUCUGCCCUGCCACGUGCUGUGCCCACAGCUUCCUCAGGCUGCCCGUGUGGAGCCUGGCCACUUGGAUUUAUGGGAAUGGAGCUGCUCAGCUGUUUGAAGUAAUGGGUGCAUAUUCAUCCAUAUCCAGGAUUCAGAUAUGCAAAACAUCACAGUUUUGGAUCUACCCAAAACUGCACUUCAGUCAUCAAGAGGCUUUGAGGUGCACUGACUGAUUUCGGCAAUUCUCUAGGUGGGCACUGAGCUCCUGCAUCUUUGUGAUGAAAUUCAUGCAGUUCGAUGUCCUUUUGCACUGCACUGCUCCAUCUUCUUAGUUUUUAUUCAACUUUUAUUCAAACAGGAUGCUUUAAGUAUCUGGAUCUUGCAAUUCAUUGUCUGAUUCUUUAGUAGUCAUCAUUCUCACCUGAUAAAAUUGCUCAACUCCUUCACAGCAAUUGAGACAAAUAAAAACUCCUUGAUUCUGAAACUUUGGUGGGUACAGAAGUCAGAAGGAUACAGUCUCUUCUGACUGUAAUGGCUGUGUUGUUGCUUUUGCUGUCAGCAGUGUUUAUUUUUAUUAAUAGAUACUACUUUUUGUUCUCGUUUAGCCUCGUAGACUAAUGUUUAAAGUAGCCGAGAAUCAGAUUUUACCUAAAGAACAUUUCAUUUAUUGAAGGUUAUUUGAAAUUACUGGUAUAAUUCAUGUAUUGCAACUUAGCCAAUAACCAAUAACCUCAUCUUCUUUCUGUGCAAUUCCAGUUCUGCAUAACAAAGAGAGGGCCCUAUGUAUCCAGGGGAAACUGAAUCACUUAAGCAGAAAAUAAAGUCUGUCAAAACACUACAUAAAUGCUGUACAUGCAUCUUUUUUUAAUUGAGUUGGGUAAGUGGAGAGAUUUCCAGUGUAUUCUGAAUGUCUAAUCCCUGGACCAAGUCAAAAAAUGAUCUGUCACUCGUCCAGCUAAAAUACAAGUCACAAG